RNAcentral lists this unclassified non-coding RNA (628 nucleotides) under Hevea brasiliensis (rubber tree). The record is from RNAcentral. Lineage: Eukaryota; Viridiplantae; Streptophyta; Magnoliopsida; Malpighiales; Euphorbiaceae.
AUCAUUUCCUGUCUUUGAGCAGGUCUGCCUAUAAUUUUUUAUAAUGUUUUAGUUGUUAAGCAGGAAUGCAGAGAAAUCCUUAGCUUUCCUAUGGUAUGUUGUUUUUCAGUUUCCUGGGCUAAAGUCAAAUUUGGGUUGCUUAAACGUGAUGUAUAGUAUUGUAUAUGAUAAACAACAGGGUGUGAUAAACUUAAAAUAUAAAAUAUGGAGUUUUUCCCCCUAUCCUUUUCUUCUUUUGACAGUAAAAGUUAUGGCAUGGUUGGUUGUCUGACUUCUAAGUUUCUUAAUAUACGCCUCUUCAUUGAGAUUUAGAGUCAAAUAUGAGCAACCAUUUUUAUUUUAUCUAACGUCCAUCAGCCCCUUGAAUUUGCUUUACCACAUUGUCCUUGGCAAUUGAAUAUAAGUUUGAACAUUAUGUUGUAUUAUUUUUGAAUGCUUGUAAUUGUUUUGAUGAAUUCUAAAGAUGUUAUGUUCUAUAUAUGAAAAGUGACUAAUUAUGUGAUUAGAUGUCGCUUGCUACUAAGUUUUCUUUAUCAUAUUCAUGAUCUAACUUAUCAUGUUAUGCUUUGUUGCAUUUUGCAGGUGAAAUGGCUGAACAAACAGCUGAGCAAAUUAUGGCCAUUCAUUG